GAUGAACGCUGGCGGCGUGCCUAACACAUGCAAGUCGAGCGAAACGGUUAAAUUAGUUUUCUUCGGACGGGCGAUUUUUGUGACUGAAAGGCGGACGGAUGCGUCACGCGUGUGUAAGCUGCCUCAUACAGAGGGGGGACAGUUCGAAAUGACUGCUCCUGCUGCAUAGGAGCCCAGCGUCACUUGCAGCGGUUGGAAAAGGUCCGGCGGUAUGUGAUGUACUCGGGUCGGAUUAGCUAGUUGGUAAGGUUGUGGCGUACCAAGGCGACGAUCAGUAGCCGAGCGGGUAGGGGGACAGGCCAGAAUGGGGCUGAGACACGGACCAGACCCCGACGGGAGGGAGGAGUGGGUAAUAUUGCACAAUGGGGGAAACCCUGAUGCAGCCGCGCGGCGUGAAGGAUGAAGUAGUUCGGAAUGUAAACUUGCAUGAGCAGGGGAGAGAGUGACGGUACCGGACUAAGAAGCCCCGGCUAACUACGUG
This 481-nucleotide ribosomal RNA is filed under the name uncultured bacterium. RNAcentral describes it as "partial 16S ribosomal RNA". It matches the Rfam family "Bacterial small subunit ribosomal RNA", at positions 28 to 507 of the family's 1533-position model. The record is from RNAcentral.